UAUGACAAAUCAUUUUGACCCUCUUUUACAAUCAGACAAUGAACAAAAACAACAGAUAGGCGGAUAGCAUUGAUGAUGUCUUUACACAGUGGGGUAGGGUAGAUGGAUUUGCCGGGGUGGAGGAAUGUUUAGAAAGGUUAUGACCUAGAAAGAGUGCCUAACAACACAAAAGGGGUGACAUUGAGGCCACCCAACCAGUUGAUCAGCAAUUGCCAUAUUAAGGCUGUAAAUAUGGUCUGAGAUUCAUAUUGAACAUAUGUGCGUUCUCCUGUCGUACUGGCAUUACUGAUCGUGAGGUGAUAGAGAGAGAAGACGCUAUACUUUUGGACCUGUAUACCUGGUUUACCAUCACCUUGUGCCCCUUUGGGAGUACAAUUUCAAGUGGACUUCAUUUAUUUAUUUCAAGAAGUUCAGGUGGUGGAGAUAUGGCCAAAAUCAAGAUGAGAUGGAGAGCUACAUUGCUAUGUCUAACAGUACUUAUGGCAACAACAAUCUUGACAACUGUGUCAGAACAAUCAACCACAGCUGAGCCCACAAUAACCACAGAUGCUCCAUCAACAACCACAGCAGCUGCCACAACAUCCACAACUGCCCCAACAACCACCACACCUGCACCAUCAACCACAACUGUCCCCAUGACAACCACAGCUGCCCCACAGACAACCACAGCUGCCCCACAGACAACCACAGUUGCUCCACAGACAACCACAGCUGCCCCACAGACAACCACAGCUGGUGAUACAACUACAGCAGCUGCACCAUUGAUAACAGAUUCUGCUCCCACAACAUCCACAGAUGCACACACAACAACCACAGAAGCACCCACAAAAACCAAAGAAGCACCCACAACAACCACAUCUUCUCCGACAACACCUACAGCAGCUCCAACAACCACAGCCAUCCCGACAACAACCACAUUUUCUCAAACAUCAACUACAGAAGCUCCCACAACCACAACAUCUUCCCCUAUAACAGCCCUAGCUGUUCCCACAACAAACACAGUUGCUCCCACUACAACCACAGACGGUAUUACGAUGACCACAGCUACACCAACAACAACCACAGAGUCUCCCACAACAACCACAGUUGCGGCCGCUAUGACAACUACAGCUGUGGCUACAACAACUACAGUUGCUCCCAAAACAACAGCAGCAACUUUUCCCACAACAACCACAGCAGAUGAUACGACAACUACAGCUGUGGGUACAACUACAGCCUUCCCCUCAACACCAACGGCAGCUCCAACAACCACAACAGAUUACUCUACAACAACCACAGCCAGCCCCACAUCAACCACAGCUGUUCCAACAACAACCACAGCUGCACCCACAUCAACCACAGAAGCACCCACAACAACCACAUCUUCUCCGACAACACCUACAGCAGCUCCGACAACACCAGCCAUCUCCACAACAACCCCAGACGCACACACAACAACCACAGAUGCACACACAACAACCACAGAAGCACCCACAACAACCACAGCUGCACAAUCCCCAACCACAUUUUCUCUGACAACAACUACAGCAGCUCCCACAACAACUACAGCUUCACCUACAACAACCACAGAUGCACCCACAACAACCACAUCUUCUCCAACAACAACAGCAGCUCCAACAACCACAACAGCUUACUCUAAAACAACCAAUGCUUCUACAACAACAACCAAAGCUGAUCCCACAACAACCACAGCCAUCCCCACAACAACCACAGCUGCUGCCACAACAACCACAGAUGCACACACACCAAUCACAUCUUCUCCAACAACAACUACAUCAUCUACAACAUCCACAACAGCCUCCUCUACAUCCACCACAACCAGCCCCACAUCAACCACAGCUGUUCCCACAACAACCACAGCUGCACCCACAACAACCACAUUUGCACACACAUCAACCACAGAAGCACCCACAACAACCACAUCUUCUCCGACAACACCUACAGCAGCUCUGACAACUACAGCUUCACCCACAUCAACCACAGAUGCACACACAACAACCACAUCUUCUCCAACAACACCUACAGGAGUUCCGACAACCACAGCUAUCCCCACAACAACCACAGAUGCACACACAACAACCACAUCUUCUCUGACAACAACUACAACAUCCACAACAGCCUCCUCUACAUCCAGCACAACCAGCCCCACAUUAACCACAGCUGUUCCCACAACAACCACAGCUGCACCAACAACAACCACAUCUGCACACACAUCAACCACAGAAGCACCCACAACAACCACAUCUUCUCUGACAACACCUACAGCAUCUCCAACAACCACAGCCAUCUUCACAACAACCACAGAUGCACACACAACAACCACAGCUUCCACCACAUCAACCACAGCUGUUCCCACAACAACCACAGCUGCACCCACAACAACCACAUUUGCACACACAUCAACCACAGAAGCACCCACAACAACCACAUCUUCUCCGACAAAACCUACAGCAGCUCCGACAACCACA
This 2468-nucleotide long non-coding RNA is filed under the name Salmo salar (Atlantic salmon). RNAcentral describes it as "lncRNA (ENSSSAG00000107060.1)". Lineage: Eukaryota; Metazoa; Chordata; Actinopteri; Salmoniformes; Salmonidae. The record is from RNAcentral.